This 1840-nucleotide unclassified non-coding RNA is filed under the name Drosophila pseudoobscura pseudoobscura. Its description in RNAcentral is "GA17977". Lineage: Eukaryota; Metazoa; Arthropoda; Insecta; Diptera; Drosophilidae. The record is from RNAcentral.
AAUUAUAGCAAAAGCAAAUACGCUAAGGGAAAAGGAAGAGAAGCAAAAGCAAAAGCAAACGAAAGAGAAUUAGUCAAAUAGAAGCGGCAGCAAACAGAGGGAGAGAAAUAUUCACAAAAAGAUCUGUGACCAGGCAAACCGGAAAUUAAAUCUGCAACGUUUCUGCCCCGAAAAGACCAGGAGACCAAAGACCCGAGACCUGAGACCCGAGACCUCAGAGUCCAGAGUCCAGACCCCGAAAAGGAAGAGAAAGCCGCAGCAGCCGCAACCGCAGCAAAAUCCGAGUCGAGCAAACGGAACACGCGUGCCAAAUAUUUGCUCAAAAAUAGGAGAAUAAAAUAAUAAUCAAAGCACCGGAGAGGAGAGUAUCCCAGCGAAUUGAGAGAUUUAUUCGGCGGGAGAGUGGGCAAAUAGGGGGACACGUUUCAUGAGCGCUGCAGCAGGCUCCGAGAGCAGGGAAAGGCCACGGACCGCCUUCACCGGAGGCCAUUGUUGACACUCGCUCUGAACUCUGACCCUCCGCCGUUGGUGCGUCUCGUCUCCGGUCCAAGCUCCAGCUCUUUGUCUCCAGCUUCUGCUCCCGCUCCCGCUUUUGUGCUAAUCAUCGCGGACACAGCGAACGACGACUGCCUGAAAGGAGGUGACGGAGGAGAAACCCUGGCCAACUAUUUAACCAAGGUGACGAGGCAAGGAUUGCUUGUCCCAGAGGCAGCAGAAGGCAGUCGGAGGUCAGGCAGCUAUUCAACCCAGGAGGCAGGCGAAACAAGCAAACCAAGGACAUGGACUCCUCGCUGCCGUCGUCUCUGUCGCUGUUUGUCCUGUUGAUCUUUCUGGCGAUAAUUAAAGAGAGCUGUCAGGGUCCUCAUGAGAAGCGCCUGCUCAACCACCUGCUCUCCACCUACAAUACGCUGGAGCGACCCGUCGCCAAUGAGUCGGAGCCCCUGGAGGUGAAGUUCGGACUGACGCUGCAGCAGAUCAUCGAUGUGGACGAGAAAAAUCAACUUCUCAUAACGAAUCUUUGGCUUUCGUUGGAAUGGAAUGACUACAAUCUGCGAUGGAACGAGACGGAAUAUGGCGGGGUCAAGGAUCUGCGAAUCACGCCCAACAAACUGUGGAAGCCCGACGUGCUCAUGUACAAUAGCCAUGCCGGGAAAGAAGAAUACGAUAGUCUACGCCUGCUGCCCAGAACCAUAUGUCGAUAUCACCUUUACUAUACAAAUACGUCGCCGUACAUUAUAUUAUUUUUUCAAUUUAAUUGUGCCCUGUGUGCUAAUCUCAUCGAUGGCCCUCUUGGGCUUCACAUUGCCGCCGGACUCUGGCGAGAAGCUGACGCUGGGCGUAACUAUACUACUAUCAUUAACAGUAUUUCUAAACCUUGUUGCCGAGUCCAUGCCGACAACGUCGGAUGCUGUUCCUCUUAUAGGCACCUAUUUCAACUGCAUCAUGUUCAUGGUCGCAUCGUCGGUGGUGCUCACGGUUGUGGUGCUCAACUAUCACCAUCGCACAGCGGACAUUCACGAGAUGCCACCGUGGAUCAAAUCCGUUUUCCUACAAUGGCUGCCCUGGAUCUUGCGGAUGGGUCGACCCGGCCGCAAGAUCACACGCAAAACAAUACUAUUAAGCAAUCGCAUGAAGGAAUUGGAGCUGAAGGAGCGCUCUUCCAAGUCUCUGCUCGCCAAUGUUCUCGAUAUUGACGAUGACUUUCGGCAUACAAUAUCAGGAUCUCAAACCGCCAUCGGUUCGUCGGCUAGCUUUGGCCGACCCACAACGGUGGAGGAACACCACACGGCCAUUGGCUGCAAUCACAAAGAUCUCCACUUAAUUCUCAAAGAAUUGCAAU